Non-coding RNA from Hordeum vulgare subsp. vulgare (domesticated barley), 135 nucleotides. NCBI's taxonomy places the organism in Eukaryota, Viridiplantae, Streptophyta, Magnoliopsida, Poales, Poaceae. The record is from Rfam.
AUGGUACUCCCUCGGUCUCAAAAUUCUUGUCUUACAUUUGUUUAGAUACGAAUAUAUCUAGUCAAGUUUUUGUAUUUAGAUACAUCAAUUUCUAGAAAAAGCUAAGACAAGAAUUUUGGAUGGAGGUAGUACGUU